Molecule: ribosomal RNA, 237 nt
Filed under: uncultured bacterium
Lineage: Bacteria
Description: partial 16S ribosomal RNA
Rfam family: Bacterial small subunit ribosomal RNA
Source: RNAcentral
UACGUAGGGUGCAAGCGUUGUCCGGAAUUAUUGGGCGUAAAGAGCUCGUAGGCGGUCUGUCGCGUCGGCUGUGAAAUCCCGAGGCUCAACCUCGGGUCUGCAGUCGAUACGGGCAAACUAGAGUAUUGCAGGGGAGACUGGAAAUUCCUGGUGUAGCGGUGAAAUGCGCAGAUAUCAGGAGGAACACCGGUGGCGAAGGCGGGUCUCUGGGCAAUAACUGACGCUGGAGGAGCGAAA